Molecule: long non-coding RNA, 742 nt
Organism: Rhododendron vialii
Lineage: Eukaryota; Viridiplantae; Streptophyta; Magnoliopsida; Ericales; Ericaceae
Exons: 3
Source: RefSeq, a predicted model, not a curated record
UCUCUCUCUCUCUCUCUCUCUCUCUCUCUCUCUCUCUCCCUCCCUCCUUAUUCUAGCUUUGUUAGCAGAGAUGGCUCAAACGUGUCCCAACCCUGCUCAAGAAUGUUUCCAAAACCCUACUCAAGGAGAAUCAUGUGACAACCAAGUCCAUCACGGAGCAAGGGAGGCUCGCAAAGGUCCCCUUACGGCAUGUUUCGGGACAUUGUGUUGCUGUUGCACUUGUUGCACUAAAACUUGCCGCGUACUUAAGUUUUUCUCUUGUAUUUGUGGCUUUCCUACUUGUUGCAUCUGACGGCAACAGAUCCCUUCUUGUUAUGGUGGUGCCCCCGUUGCGUGGUCUUUGAUUUCUACUUAAUUCCAUACCUUAUUACUCCGUCCGUCACAAUUUAAAUGUCUCUACAGGAGAUCGUAUAAUUUUGUACCUAAAAAAUAAAGUCCUUGCGGAAUUAAUUUUUAAUUUUUUUUCGCACCGUUCAAAGGCUUUCAGUGAGUACUUCCUAAUAGUGCAAAAAUUUUGGAAAAAUAUUACCAAAAGUACGAUUUUUAUGAGGUCAAAGUUACACGAUCUUCCAUAGUAAACAUUUAAAUUGGAAGAAAUGGAGUAUAUCCUUAUUAUAUAGACAUAAUAAAAUGUUGAUUAGCCGUUCAUGUCAUGUGGGGGUGCGCUAAAACUGUAAUGCUUAUUCAUGUGUGAGUGUGACCAUUUGAAUUGGAACAGAGGGAGUAUAUCCUUUUUCUCCAU